GAUGAACGCUGGCGGCGUGCUUAACACAUGCAAGUCGAACGAAGCACUUUAUUUGAUUUCCUUCGGGACUGAUUAUUUUGUGACUGAGUGGCGGACGGGUGAGUAACGCGUGGGUAACCUGCCUUGUACAGGGGGAUAACAGUUGGAAACGGCUGCUAAUACCGCAUAAGCGCACAGCAUCGCAUGAUGCAGUGUGAAAAACUCCGGUGGUAUAAGAUGGACCCGCGUUGGAUUAGCUAGAUGGUGAGGUAACGGCCCACCAAGGCGACGAUCCAUAGCCGACCUGAGAGGGUGACCGGCCACAUUGGGACUGAGACACGGCCCAAACUCCUACGGGAGGCAGCAGUGGGGAAUAUUGCACAAUGGGCGAAAGCCUGAUGCAGCGACGCCGCGUGAGCGAAGAAGUAUUUCGGUAUGUAAAGCUCUAUCAGCAGGGAAGAUAAUGACGGUACCUGACUAAGAAGCACCGGCUAAAUACGUG
This 481-nucleotide ribosomal RNA is filed under the name uncultured bacterium. RNAcentral's name for it is "partial 16S ribosomal RNA". It matches the Rfam family "Bacterial small subunit ribosomal RNA", at positions 28 to 507 of the family's 1533-position model. The record is from RNAcentral.